GAAAAGACCUGAGGAAGAGCUUCAAGAACAGUCGAAAGGACAUGAGGAAGGCGAUCCGGUGCUGACAGCACUGUAUACCAGCCUCCAAGACUAUAGCUCUGUGGCCUUGCAAACAGGAGGCAUCCAGUUAUGGCACAUCAAAACAAUGCCCAGCC
Molecule: long non-coding RNA, 155 nt
Organism: Mus musculus (house mouse)
Lineage: Eukaryota; Metazoa; Chordata; Mammalia; Rodentia; Muridae
Product: predicted gene, 53532
Exons: 3
Source: RefSeq, a predicted model, not a curated record